AUUCGCCGUGAUGACCUUUUUCCUGCCAUUCGUAGUUUCCACCAGAGGUCAACAGACCAAAGACGGUCCAAACCGUCCUUGGAUGUCAGAGAAU
RNAcentral lists this small nucleolar RNA (94 nucleotides) under Mola mola (ocean sunfish). Its description in RNAcentral is "Small nucleolar RNA SNORD14 (ENSMMOG00000011244.1)". The record is from RNAcentral. Lineage: Eukaryota; Metazoa; Chordata; Actinopteri; Tetraodontiformes; Molidae.